This 443-nucleotide ribosomal RNA is filed under the name uncultured bacterium. RNAcentral's name for it is "partial 16S ribosomal RNA". It matches the Rfam family "Bacterial small subunit ribosomal RNA", at positions 338 to 795 of the family's 1533-position model. The record is from RNAcentral.
CCUACGGGUGGCAGCAGUGGGGAAUAUUGGGCAAUGGGCGCAAGCCUGACCCAGCAACGCCGCGUGAAGGAAGAAGGCUUUCGGGUUGUAAACUUCUUUUCUCAGGGACGAAGCAAGUGACGGUACCUGAGUAAUAAGCCACGGCUAACUACGUGCCAGCAGCCGCGGUAAUACGUAGGUGGCAAGCGUGAUCCGGAUUUACUGGGUGUAAAGGGCGUGUAGGCGGGAAAGCAAGUCAGAUGUGAAAACCAUGGGCUCAACCUGUGGCUUGCAUUUGAAACUGUUUUUCUUGAGUACUGGAGAGGCGGACGGAAUUCCUGGUGUAGCGGUGAAAUGCGUAGAUAUUAGGAGGAACACCAGUGGCGAAGGCGGUCUGCUGGACAGCAACUGACGCUGAGGCGCGAAAGCGUGGGGAGCAAACAGGAUUAGAUACCCUUGUAGUC